This 987-nucleotide ribosomal RNA is filed under the name Salmonella enterica subsp. enterica serovar Oslo. Its description in RNAcentral is "bacterial SSU rRNA". It matches the Rfam family "Bacterial small subunit ribosomal RNA", at positions 147 to 1129 of the family's 1533-position model. The record is from RNAcentral. Lineage: Bacteria; Pseudomonadati; Pseudomonadota; Gammaproteobacteria; Enterobacterales; Enterobacteriaceae.
CUACUGGAAACGGUGGCUAAUACCGCAUAACGUCGCAAGACCAAAGAGGGGGACCUUCGGGCCUCUUGCCAUCAGAUGUGCCCAGAUGGGAUUAGCUUGUUGGUGAGGUAACGGCUCACCAAGGCGACGAUCCCUAGCUGGUCUGAGAGGAUGACCAGCCACACUGGAACUGAGACACGGUCCAGACUCCUACGGGAGGCAGCAGUGGGGAAUAUUGCACAAUGGGCGCAAGCCUGAUGCAGCCAUGCCGCGUGUAUGAAGAAGGCCUUCGGGUUGUAAAGUACUUUCAGCGGGGAGGAAGGUGUUGUGGUUAAUAACCGCAGCAAUUGACGUUACCCGCAGAAGAAGCACCGGCUAACUCCGUGCCAGCAGCCGCGGUAAUACGGAGGGUGCAAGCGUUAAUCGGAAUUACUGGGCGUAAAGCGCACGCAGGCGGUCUGUCAAGUCGGAUGUGAAAUCCCCGGGCUCAACCUGGGAACUGCAUUCGAAACUGGCAGGCUUGAGUCUUGUAGAGGGGGGUAGAAUUCCAGGUGUAGCGGUGAAAUGCGUAGAGAUCUGGAGGAAUACCGGUGGCGAAGGCGGCCCCCUGGACAAAGACUGACGCUCAGGUGCGAAAGCGUGGGGAGCAAACAGGAUUAGAUACCCUGGUAGUCCACGCCGUAAACGAUGUCUACUUGGAGGUUGUGCCCUUGAGGCGUGGCUUCCGGAGCUAACGCGUUAAGUAGACCGCCUGGGGAGUACGGCCGCAAGGUUAAAACUCAAAUGAAUUGACGGGGGCCCGCACAAGCGGUGGAGCAUGUGGUUUAAUUCGAUGCAACGCGAAGAACCUUACCUGGUCUUGACAUCCACGGAAGUUUUCAGAGAUGAGAAUGUGCCUUCGGGAACCGUGAGACAGGUGCUGCAUGGCUGUCGUCAGCUCGUGUUGUGAAAUGUUGGGUUAAGUCCCGCAACGAGCGCAACCCUUAUCCUUUGUUGCCAGCGGUUAGG